RNAcentral lists this long non-coding RNA (346 nucleotides) under Ananas comosus (pineapple). Its description in RNAcentral is "long non-coding RNA (ACOM_LNC013934)". The record is from RNAcentral. Lineage: Eukaryota; Viridiplantae; Streptophyta; Magnoliopsida; Poales; Bromeliaceae.
AACAAACACAUUAUAAAAUUUAAGAAGUUAUUACUUACAAAAGGAGGUUUGAAAAAUGGAAAUGCUACCGACCGUUCCUAAAGUAAGUGGCAAAGGAUUUGGUGAUUACUUACAAAAGGAGGUUUGAAAAAUGGAAAUGCUACCAACCGUUCCUAAAGUAAGUGGCAAAGGAUUUGGUGAUUAGUAUUCGAGAUUCCAAGUUCGAAUUCUAAUUGAUUCACAUUUUCAGCUACGUUUAUUUCUAAAUAAAAUAAACGAAACGGAUAACGUGUUACCUAUCUCUCAAAAAAAGAAAAAGAAAAAUGGAAAUGCUCAAGGAUUAAGUAGAAGUAAAUACUUAUAAUGA